RNAcentral lists this ribosomal RNA (301 nucleotides) under uncultured bacterium. RNAcentral describes it as "partial 16S ribosomal RNA". It matches the Rfam family "Bacterial small subunit ribosomal RNA", at positions 509 to 807 of the family's 1533-position model. The record is from RNAcentral.
CAGCAGCCGCGGUAAUACGUAGGUGGCAAGCGUUGUCCGGAAUUAUUGGGCGUAAAGGGCUCGCAGGCGGUUUCUUAAGUCUGAUGUGAAAGCCCCCGGCUCAACCGGGGAGGGUCAUUGGAAACUGGGAAACUUGAGUGCAGAAGAGGAGAGUGGAAUUCCACGUGUAGCGGUGAAAUGCGUAGAGAUGUGGAGGAACACCAGUGGCGAAGGCGACUCUCUGGUCUGUAACUGACGCUGAGGUGCGAAAGCGUGGGGAGCGAACAGGAUUAGAUACCCCUGUAGUCCCUGUCUCUUAUAC